UAGUUGGUAGGUAAGGCUCACCAAGGCGACGAUCCCUAGCUGGUCUGAGAGGAUGAUCAGCCACACUGGAACUGAGACACGGUCCAGACUCCUACGGGAGGCAGCAGUGGGGAAUAUUGCACAAUGGGCGCAAGCCUGAUGCAGCCAUGCCGCGUGUGUGAAGAAGGCCUUCGGGUUGUAAAGCACUUUCAGUCGUGAGGAAGGUAGUGUAGUUAAUAGCUGCAUUAUUUGACGUUAGCGACAGAAGAAGCACCGGCUAACUCCGUGCCAGCAGCCGCGGUAAUACGGAGGGUGCGAGCGUUAAUCGGAAUUACUGGGCGUAAAGCGCAUGCAGGUGGUUUGUUAAGUCAGAUGUGAAAGCCCGGGGCUCAACCUCGGAAUAGCAUUUGAAACUGGCAGACUAGAGUACUGUAGAGGGGGGUAGAAUUUCA
This 431-nucleotide ribosomal RNA is filed under the name Vibrio alginolyticus. RNAcentral's name for it is "bacterial SSU rRNA". It matches the Rfam family "Bacterial small subunit ribosomal RNA", at positions 246 to 671 of the family's 1533-position model. Lineage: Bacteria; Pseudomonadati; Pseudomonadota; Gammaproteobacteria; Vibrionales; Vibrionaceae. The record is from RNAcentral.